AGAGUUUCGAUCCUGGCUCAGGAUGAACGCUGGCGGCGUGCUUAACACAUGCAAGUCGAACGGGGAUUACACGGAGAUGCGAUUUCGGUCAAAUCAAGUGCAAUCUUAGUGGCGGACGGGUGAGUAACGCGUGGGUAACCUGCCUUGCACUGGGGGAUAACACUUAGAAAUAGGUGCUAAUACCGCAUAAGCGCACGGUCCUGCAUGGGACAGUGUGAAAAACUCCGGUGGUGCAAGAUGGAUCCGCGUCUGAUUAGCUGGUUGGCGGGGUAAAGGCCCACCAAGGCGACGAUCAGUAGCCGGCCUGAGAGGGUGGACGGCCACAUUGGGACUGAGACACGGCCCAAACUCCUACGGGAGGCAGCAGUGGGGGAUAUUGGACAAUGGGGGGAACCCUGAUCCAGCGACGCCGCGUGGGUGAAGAAGUAUUUCGGUAUGUAAAGCUCUGUCAGCAGGGAAGAAAGCAAUGACGGUACCUGACCAAGAAGCCCCGGCUAACUACGUG
RNAcentral lists this ribosomal RNA (505 nucleotides) under uncultured Lachnospiraceae bacterium. RNAcentral's name for it is "bacterial SSU rRNA". It matches the Rfam family "Bacterial small subunit ribosomal RNA", at positions 8 to 507 of the family's 1533-position model. The record is from RNAcentral. Lineage: Bacteria; Bacillati; Bacillota; Clostridia; Lachnospirales; Lachnospiraceae.